This 310-nucleotide unclassified non-coding RNA is filed under the name Hevea brasiliensis (rubber tree). Lineage: Eukaryota; Viridiplantae; Streptophyta; Magnoliopsida; Malpighiales; Euphorbiaceae. The record is from RNAcentral.
GUUUCAAAAUAGCUAGCACAUGGUGGGUUUGAGAGCAUGUUAUUUCCAUUGUAGCAUGUUAAUUCAACACUACAGUAACGUAAAUCCAUGCCUUAGCACGAUUCUUGUACUGUUAGAUGCAAUGUUACUAAUUCUGAAGUGUAUAGCAUACAUUGGUAAAAUUAAAACAAUUGGAUAAAAUUGAAAAUUAUUUCAAAGUUUAGGACUUAUGGGAUAAUUAGCGCUUAAAAAAAUUAGUACUGUUUACUGUAAUGACAUACACUGCUAGAAUCAGUUAAUGCUUAAAUUUCAUUGACAAACUUCUUAUAUA